CAGUAGCCGCGGUAAUACGUAGGUGGCAAGCGUCGUCCGGAAUUAUUGGGCGUAAAGGGCUUGCAGGCGGUUUCUUAAGUCUGAUGUGAAAGCCCCCGGCUCAACCGGGGAGGGUCAUUGGAAACUGGGAAACUUGAGUGCAGAAGAGGAGAGUGGAAUUCCACGUGUAGCGGUGAAAUGCGUAGAGAUGUGGAGGAACACCAGUGGCGAAGGCGACUCUCUGGUCUGUAACUGACGCUGAGGAGCGAAAGCGUGGGGAGCGAACAGGAUUAGAUACCCGCGUAGUCCCUGUCUCUUAUAC
This 301-nucleotide ribosomal RNA is filed under the name uncultured bacterium. Its description in RNAcentral is "partial 16S ribosomal RNA". It matches the Rfam family "Bacterial small subunit ribosomal RNA", at positions 509 to 807 of the family's 1533-position model. The record is from RNAcentral.